RNAcentral lists this ribosomal RNA (116 nucleotides) under Oscillibacter valericigenes. The record is from RNAcentral. RNAcentral also lists the same sequence under 4 other names. Lineage: Bacteria; Bacillati; Bacillota; Clostridia; Eubacteriales; Oscillospiraceae.
GUUGGUGCUGAUUAGGGCGAGGGUCCACCCGUUCCCAUUCCGAACACGGUAGUUAAGCUCGUCUCUGCCGACAAUACUUGGCUGGCGACGGCCUGGAAAAAUAGGUAGUGCCAACA